RNAcentral lists this unclassified non-coding RNA (563 nucleotides) under Hevea brasiliensis (rubber tree). Lineage: Eukaryota; Viridiplantae; Streptophyta; Magnoliopsida; Malpighiales; Euphorbiaceae. The record is from RNAcentral.
CAAUUGAGCAUCAGAAUUCAAAGCAUGACGAUGAAAUUUGUCAGACUUUGACCCGGCAGAACAAUAGUGAUAUAGAGAAUAAUUGUAUUGUGUUUCCUGGAUGCUUGGCCAGUUGUUCUGCAGAAAUGCAAUUGUCAGAAGCUGGAAACUACCACAAGGACACGUCAAGUUCACCUAAUAAAAAUGGUGAAUUCUUGCGUCUGGAUGAUUCAAGGGACAAUGCAGUAAAUGAGCAAGCUGCAUUGGCCACAUCAAGUGAGAAUGACCAUUGUGGGAACCAUUUGCCUACAUGCUUUGAAGAGCGGAGGACAACCAUAAAUGGAAAACCAGGUGGAUUUGUAACUUCUCAUUGUUGUUACGAAGGGCACAAGAAAAAUUAAAGCACAAAGGAUCUGAAGCCUAGGUGCUACAUGCAAGGGUAUGCCUGAUAGAGAUGAGGAAUGGAACAAUAUUGUUAAUGUGAUGGAGAGUUCAGUGUAAUUUCUGUUCUUCUUAGAAGUUUUUGCUGUACUGCUUUUAUAUUAUUGCUGUGAACUGAUCAUAUACAGAUAUGUCCCUUUCAG